Molecule: ribosomal RNA, 751 nt
Filed under: Arthrobacter sp.
Lineage: Bacteria; Bacillati; Actinomycetota; Actinomycetes; Micrococcales; Micrococcaceae
Description: bacterial SSU rRNA
Rfam family: Bacterial small subunit ribosomal RNA
Source: RNAcentral
CACCGGGUGAUUAGUGGCGAACGGGUGAGUAACACGUGAGUAACCUGCCCCCGACUCUGGGAUAAGCCCGGGAAACUGGGUCUAAUACCGGAUAUUCACUUCCUUCCGCAUGGGGGGUGGUGGAAAGAUUUAUCGGUGGGGGAUGGACUCGCGGCCUAUCAGCUUGUUGGUGGGGUAAUGGCCCACCAAGGCGACGACGGGUAGCCGGCCUGAGAGGGUGACCGGCCACACUGGGACUGAGACACGGCCCAGACUCCUACGGGAGGCAGCAGUGGGGAAUAUUGCACAAUGGGCGAAAGCCUGAUGCAGCGACGCCGCGUGAGGGAUGACGGCCUUCGGGUUGUAAACCUCUUUCAGUAGGGAAGAAGCGAAAGUGACGGUACCUGCAGAAGAAGCGCCGGCUAACUACGUGCCAGCAGCCGCGGUAAUACGUAGGGCGCAAGCGUUAUCCGGAAUUAUUGGGCGUAAAGAGCUCGUAGGCGGUUUGUCGCGUCUGCCGUGAAAGUCCGGGGCUCAACCCCGGAUCUGCGGUGGGUACGGGCAGACUAGAGUGAUGUAGGGGAGACUGGAAUUCCUGGUGUAGCGGUGAAAUGCGCAGAUAUCAGGAGGAACACCGAUGGCGAAGGCAGGUCUCUGGGCAUUAACUGACGCUGAGGAGCGAAAGCAUGGGGAGCGAACAGGAUUAGAUACCCUGGUAGUCCAUGCCGUAAACGUUGGGCACUAGAUGUGGGGGACAUUCCACGUUUUCCGC